UUUAGAGAUGGAUUCGUGCUCGAAAGAGAAUCUGAACACAGGUGCUGCAUGGCUGUCGUCAGCUCGUGUCGUGAGAUGUUGGGUUAAGUCCCGCAACGAGCGCAACCCUUGUCUUCUGUUGCCAUCAGGUCAAGCUGGGCACUCUGAAGAGACUGCCGGUGACAAACCGGAGGAAGGUGGGGAUGACGUCAAGUCAGCAUGGCCUUUAUGUCUGGGGCCACACACGUGCUACAAUGGCCGGUACAAACCGUCGCAAACUCGCAAGGGUGAGCUAAUCGGAGAAAGCCGGUCUCAGUUCGGAUUGUCGGCUGCAACUCGCCGGCAUGAAGUUGGAAUCGCUAGUAAUCGCGGAUCAGCACGCCGCGGUGAAUACGUUCCCGGGCCUUGUACACACCGCCCGUCACAUCACGAAAGUCGGUUGCACUAGAAGUCGGUGGGCUAACCCGCAAGGGAGGCAGCCGCCUAAAGUGUGAUCGGUAAUUGGGGUGAAGUCGUAACAAGGUAGCCGU
RNAcentral lists this ribosomal RNA (509 nucleotides) under uncultured Acidobacteriota bacterium. RNAcentral's name for it is "bacterial SSU rRNA". It matches the Rfam family "Bacterial small subunit ribosomal RNA", at positions 999 to 1503 of the family's 1533-position model. Lineage: Bacteria; Pseudomonadati; Acidobacteriota. The record is from RNAcentral.